Non-coding RNA from Vicia faba (fava bean), 183 nucleotides. The record is from the annotation of a GenBank genome assembly. NCBI's taxonomy places the organism in Eukaryota, Viridiplantae, Streptophyta, Magnoliopsida, Fabales, Fabaceae.
AUGGAUCCGUCUCAAGCGGCAUCAGCAUUCUUCACCUUCGUCCACUUCGCUGAACCAUACAAUAACCUUCGACUGCGACCGCGAGGAAGAACGGCGGAGUUGCGUGUACUCAUGUACUUCUUUCACUUCUUCUUCCCUCUGUGUGUGUGUUUUGAUGUGGUUGUUGUUGUAGAUUUAUGCUGA